This 434-nucleotide unclassified non-coding RNA is filed under the name soil metagenome. RNAcentral's name for it is "partial contains 5.8S ribosomal RNA, internal transcribed spacer 2, and large subunit ribosomal RNA". The stretch from base 1 to 120 matches the Rfam family "5.8S ribosomal RNA", at positions 35 to 154 of the family's 154-position model. The record is from RNAcentral.
GAUGAAGAACGUAGCGAAAUGCGAUAAGUAAUGUGAAUUGCAAAAUUCAGUGAAUCAUCGAAUCUUUGAACGCACCUUGCGCUCCUUGGUAUUCCUUGGAGCAUGCCUGUUUGAGUAUCAUGAAAUUCUCAAAGUAAAUCUUUUUGUUAAUUCAAUUGGUUUCACUUUGGAUUUGGAGGUCUUUUGCAGCUUCACACCUGCUCCUCUUUGUGCAUUAGCUGGAUCUCAGUGUUAUGCUUGGUUCCACUCGGCGUGAUAAAUUAUCUAUCGCUGAGGACACUUUUUUUUUUCUUAAAAAAAAAAUAAAGGUGGCCAAGGGAAAUGCAGAUGAACCGCUUCCAAUAGUCCAUUAGCUUGGACAAAAUAUAUUUAUGAUCUGAUCUCAAAUCAGGUAGGACUACCCGCUGAACUUAAGCAUAUCAAUAAGCGGAGGA